This 408-nucleotide ribosomal RNA is filed under the name uncultured bacterium. RNAcentral's name for it is "partial 16S ribosomal RNA". It matches the Rfam family "Bacterial small subunit ribosomal RNA", at positions 28 to 526 of the family's 1533-position model. The record is from RNAcentral.
GACGAACGCUGGCGGUGUGCUUAACACAUGCAAGUCGAACGAAGUGGCGAACGGGUGAGUAACGUGUAAACACACUGCCCUUCAGAGGGGGAUAACAGUUGGAAACGACUGCAAAUACCGUAUACUGCGGGAGGGGUUUGCGUUUGGUUCGCAGGUUGGCGGGGUGACGGCGCACCAAGGCGCUGAUCCGUAGCCGGUCUUAGAGGGUGAACGGCCGCACUGGGACUGGGACCCGGCCCAGACUCCUACGGGAGGCAGCAGUGGGGAAUCUUCCGCAAUGGACGAAAGUCUGACGGAGCAACGCCGCGUGAGGGAUGACGGCCUUCGGGUUGUAAAGCUCUGUUAAUCGGGACGCGGUACCUGAAUAGAAAGCCACGGCUAACUACGUGCCAGCAGCCGCGGUAAUAC